GACGAACGCUGGCGGCGUGCUUAACACAUGCAAGUCGAACGGAAAGGCCCCCAUCUUGGUGGGGGUGCUCGAGUGGCGAACGGGUGAGUAACACGUGGGUGAUCUGCCCUGUACUUCGGGAUAAGCUUGGGAAACUGGGUCUAAUACCGGAUAGGACCAUGGUUUAGUGUCUCAUGGUGGAAAGAUUAUUGUUUUGGUGCAGGAUGAGCUCGCGGCCUAUCAGCUUGUUGGUGGGGUAAUGGCCUACCAAGGCGUCGACGGGUAGCCGGCCUGAGAGGGUGGACGGCCACAUUGGGACUGGGAUACGGCCCAGACUCCUACGGGAGGCAGCAGUGGGGGAUAUUGCACAAUGGGCGCAAGCCUGAUGCAGCGCCGCCGCGUGGGGGAUGACGGCCUUCGGGUUGUAAACUCCUUUCGUUAGGGACGAAGCCGCACUUUUUUUGGGUGUGGUGACGGUUCCUUUGUGAAGAAGCACCGGCUAACUACGUG
RNAcentral lists this ribosomal RNA (489 nucleotides) under uncultured bacterium. Its description in RNAcentral is "partial 16S ribosomal RNA". It matches the Rfam family "Bacterial small subunit ribosomal RNA", at positions 28 to 507 of the family's 1533-position model. The record is from RNAcentral.